GAGUUGUUAAGGAAGGGAAAUAAAUGGCAGUGGACUAUAGAAUGUCAAGCAGCAUUCGAAAAAUUGAAGCAGAUGAUAAUAGCAGAACCAGUGUUAGCUCUCCCAGAUAUGGAAAAACCUUUUGAGGUACACACGGAUGCUUCAGACUUAGCGCUGGGAGCAGUUUUGAUGCAAGAAGGACACCCAAUUGCUUUUGAAAGCCGGAAACUAAAAGAUGCUGAACUUCGCUAUACAGCUCAAGAGAAAGAGUUAUUGGCGGUAGUACACUGUCUUCGUACAUGGAGGCACUACUUGUUGGGAUCAAAAUUUGUGGUGAAGACAGAUAAUACAGCAGUGAGCCACUUCCUCUCUCAACCAAAGUUGACUCCCAAACAAGCACGAUGGCAGGAAUGCCUAGCAGAGUUUGAUUUCCUAUUUGAGUAUAAGCCAGGGAGUUCUAAUCGGGUUGCAGAUGCAUUGAGCAGGAAAUCGAACUUAGCAACCUUGAAACAUCUAGCUUAGUUAUCAAGGAGCCAAGUAGACACGUCAUUGCGAAGACAAGUUCGGGAUAACUUAAAGAAGGAUCCCCAAGCAGUAGCAUUGAUGAAAUUGGUAGAAGAGAGGAAGACCAGACAAUUUUGGUUGAAGGAUGAUCUCUUGAUGACCCGAAAAAUCGGGUAUAUGUCCCAAAGGCUGGAAAUUUGAGGAAAUUUUUACUGCAGGAAUGUCAUGAUACCUUGUGGA
Molecule: unclassified non-coding RNA, 723 nt
Filed under: Hevea brasiliensis (rubber tree)
Lineage: Eukaryota; Viridiplantae; Streptophyta; Magnoliopsida; Malpighiales; Euphorbiaceae
Source: RNAcentral